UUUUGAUGAUGACAAACCUUUUCAGUUCUGCUUCUGAACCAAAAAUUCCUGAAGAUAACAAAAUUACCAAAACUGCUGACCA
This 82-nucleotide small nucleolar RNA is filed under the name Yamadazyma tenuis ATCC 10573. Lineage: Eukaryota; Fungi; Ascomycota; Pichiomycetes; Serinales; Debaryomycetaceae. The record is from RNAcentral.